RNAcentral lists this ribosomal RNA (419 nucleotides) under uncultured bacterium. RNAcentral's name for it is "bacterial SSU rRNA". It matches the Rfam family "Bacterial small subunit ribosomal RNA", at positions 14 to 416 of the family's 1533-position model. The record is from RNAcentral.
UGAUCCUGGCUCAGAGCGAAACGUUAGCGGCAGGCUUAACACAUGCAAGUCGAGCGAGAAAGGGGCUUCGGCUCCGAGUAAAGCGGCGGACGGGUGCGUAACACGUGGAUAAUCUGCCUCGUGGCGGGGGACAACAGUCCGAAAGGACUGCUAAUACCGCAUGUCAGGUCGGAAACUCCGGUUUCUGACGAAAAAGAGGGCGCCCGCAAGGGGCUCUCACCACGAGAUGAGUCCGCGUCCCAUCAGCUAGUUGGCGGUGUAAUAGACCACCUAAGGCUUAGACGGGUAGCUGGUCUGAGAGGAUGACCAGCCACACUGGGACUGAGACACGGCCCAGACUCCUACGGGAGGCAGCAGUGGGGAAUAUUGGACAAUGGGCGAAAGCCUGAUCCAGCCAUGCCGCGUGAGUGAUGAAGGCC